UCAUGAUACUGCCAAGCUUGCUGGUCUUCUUGAGAUUUUCAUCAAGAAAUAUGUUCAGUGCUAUGGGUGUGGAAACCCUGAAACUGAAAUCCUUAUCACUAAAACUCAGAUGAUCCAACUGAAGUGUGCUGCAUGUGGUUUUAUUUCUGAUGUAGACAUGAGAGACAAACUGACAACCUUUAUUCUUAAAAACCCACCUGAGUCUAAGAAGGGAGCCAAAGACAAGAAAGCAAUGAGAAGAGCUGAAAAGGAGCGUCUAAAGGAAGGUGAAGCUGCUGAUGAAGAGCUGAAGAAGCUGAAGACAAAGAAAAAGGUUUCUUCCAAGGAAGCCAGUGCAAAACCUACCUUGAAAAAGAAAGCCAGUGGCUCUGACGAGGAUCAUGCAUCCCCACCCAAAAGGCAUGUGAAUGUCAAGGAAGAGGAGGAAGAAGAAGAUGAUGAUGUUCAAUGGCAAACUGAUACAUCAAUGGCAGCUGCGCAACAGCGCAUACAGGAACAGUUGAGUGCUGUGACAGCUGAAAUGGUUAUGCUCUCCACAAAUGAGACAGAGAAGAAGCCCAAGGCAGCUACUACUCAAGCUCGCCAAAGUUCCAAGGUUGUUUCUGCACCCUCUGAGGAUGAUCCUAAAGCUGAGAAUGGAGCGCAAACAUUUGAGACUCUUGUUGAGGAGGUGAAGGUACAUCUAAAGAAGGGAGUUACAGCCAGCCAAUUUCGAUCUUUCUUGGGUUCACUCCCAGGAUCCCCUCAGGACAUAGUUACUGCUGUCUACGAGGCACUCUUGGAUGGUGUGGAGAAAGCAUUCACCAAGGAGCUUAUUAAGAAGAAAGGUUAUCUUCUUGCUGCUGUUGGUCAAGAGGAUGGGUCACAGCUACGUUUGCUCAGAGCACUGGAAGAAUUCUGUGGGAAAUCUAACCCGGCAGCUGUGAAGGAAGUAGCACUUGUUUUGAAAGCUUUGUAUGAUGCUGAUGUGUUGGAGGAGGAAUUUAUAGUGCAGUGGUAUGAAGAGGGUGUUGCUGGGGUUAAAAAGGACUCUAAAAUUUGGAAGAAUGUCAAACCUUUCAUUGACUGGCUGCAGAGUGCUGAGUCCGAGUCCGAGGAGGACUGAGAUCACAACUGUCGUUCCUUAUUUAGAUUGUUCGGAAUUCAUGUUUUCCUUUAUUUUUGGGUCUGUACUUUUAUAUUUCUUGCUAUUUCUGUCGUGUGUUGUGUGUCUGUCUUCUUUUUGAUGUUUUAAGGCGAAUAAAAAUUCUUUGGGAAGUCUUGAGCUAUUUAUUCUUGUUGUGGGUGAAUUAUUUUGGAGUUUAAAUGCAUAUUCAGUCUGAAUAAACAGUAGGCAUCAAAGAAAUUUAUUCAGACUGAAUAUGCAUUUAAACAAAAUAUUAUUGUGGUGAAAGUGCUGACGCUAUUGACUAUUGUGGUGAAAGUUGUUAUUGAUCUGAAUAUAGUAACUUUCUUGAAUUAUUUGGAGUUUAAAUGCCUAUUCAGUCUGUGAAUAAAUAAGCAUUUAAACUCCAAAUAAUUCAGAUCAAUAGCAACUUUCUUGAAUAAACAAAAUAUUAUUGUGGUGAAAGUGCUGACGUUAUUGUAAUGCUAGCUCAUUUUCUUCAUCUGAUGAGACAAUCUGUGGGUGAUGAGUAUCCCCAAAACAAACAUAAAGGGAAGAGAUCGAAAAUAACACUAUUAAAUCGUGGUUUCAAAAUGCAACCGUAGAUAGGCAUCAAAUAAAUUUUGAAAUCGCGAUUAUUAUAAUCUUUGACGUACUUUGUUCAAAAUGUCAUCAUUAUUAUUUGAGAAUAAUAUAAUUUUUAUAUUUCAAAUAUUUUUUUUCGAAUAUUCCCAUUACAAAUAAUUAGAUUCCCCGCUCCAUCUGGAUAUUAUAUUACAACUAUUUGGGGGUUCAAUAAUUUUUUGUGUGAUGGUUAAGCAUGUUCAUAACAAUAAACUACCUUCAUUUAAUACUAUUUUUAAUUAUAUGCCAAUUCUAAUAUGCAGGUUAAAAUUAAAUUAUUAAACUUUUACUUAGUAGCAAACUGACUUCCAAGCUAAUUUUGGGAAUCUAUAUAUAAUAAUAAUGUUGAAUGAGAAAACAGUGACGUGACACUCUCUAUGAGAUUCAAUCUUACUUAUCUUUUUUUGUUUUUUUUUGCCAUUUUUCUAAUUUUAAAAUACAAAAAAAUCAUCUAAAUAUUAAGGAUAGUGAUAUUUGAAUCUUUCUUCAUCAAUAGUCAUAUUUAAUUUAUUUUAUCAUGGAUGCUAUUAUUCUCUUAUCCUAUAAUAUUGCUUAAUUUCUGCUUUUACUACUUUCUUCCCCAAACCUCACCAUUAAUGAUAUUUAUAUUAUUUCCUUAAAUCACUUUUUUUCUCUUUCUUUAUUCUUUUUUUAAAAUAAAAUAAAAUAAUUCAAUUCAAGAUAUAAUAUAUAAAAGGUAUUUUUUAAAAUAUUUUUGUACGAUUUUCCCUUAAAUCUCAUUAUUAAUGAUGUUUUAACAUUUCCUUAAUAAAUCACUACUUUAGUAUUUUUCCUUUCUUUGUUCUUUUUUACUUAUUUAUUCAAUUCAAGAAAUUUAUAUAUCUAUAUAAUAUAAGGUAGUUUUGUUAUCUUCUUUAUUUGUAUUUUUCCUUUUCUAUAUAUAUAUAUAUAUAUAUAUUAUUUAUUUAUUUUUUUAUUUUUAAACUCUCUAUUUUUACCAACCGUCCGAUCAAAUGAUCGGACGGCCCAUAUAUAUAUAUAUAUUAUUUAUUUAUUUUGUGAUUUUUUUUACUUUCUUUUCUAAUUUUAAAAGACUUAGUUUCAUUUAAAAUAUUUACAAAACAUUAAACAUAGUCAAUUAAUAAUAUAGCCGAAUUUGCUGAAACGCCUCUAUUAUGUACCUAUAAAGAUACAUUGAUUUGAAGAAACGAAAUAAUAAAGCUUAUUAACUUUAGAAAUUAGUAACUGUAAUCAUAAGUUGAAGUUUAUGGGCACAUUAAUUUUUAAAAUAUUAUUUUUUCUCUUCAACUUCAUAUCAAUUACCAAUAAUACCUAUAAAUUAUCAUAUUGAAAACUUUUGUUUCUUCAUCUUGUCUCUUCUUCGAAUCUAAAUUUUACAAAUCAAAAUCUUGAUAAUCAUUUAUGUUGUCGAUUUGAUAAUGGUAGAUUUUGAGUUUUUGCGUUCGUCAUCCGAGUAUCUUCACAAGUUUACUAAUCAACAAAAAAAAAUAUCACUUGUUGAAUUUUGUUACAUGCAAGGCAUCAACUUUUUAAAAAGUCUUCAUGUUCAUUAAUGUGCCUAUAAAGACACAUUAAUUUGAAGAAACGAAAUAAUAAAACUUAUUAACUUUAGAAAUUAGUAACGGUAAUCAUAAGUUAAAGUUUAUGGGCACAUUAAUUUUUUAAAUAUUAUUUUGUCUCUUCAACUUCAUAUCAGUUACCAAUAAUACCUAUAAAUUAUCAUAUUGAAAACUUUUGUUUCUUCAUCUUUUCUCUUCUUCGUAUUUAAAUUUUACUAACCAAAUAUCUUGAUAAUCAUUUAUGUUGUCGAUUUGAUAAUGGGUAGAUUUUGAGUUCUUGCGUUCGUUAUCUGAGUAUCUUCACGAGUUCACUAAUCAACAAAAAAAUAUAUCACUUGCUGGAUUUUGUUACAUGCAAGGAAUCAACUUUUUAAAAAGUCUUCAUGUUCAUUAUUGUUUAUUCUGCCUUUUUUAUUCUCCUUGGUUUUUAUUAUUUUUUUGCCAUUAUUUUAUGUAAGCAGAUUUUUCUAUGAAUAUGGUUAUUAAGAUGUGCUAUCAAAAAACAUUGAAUAUGGAUGUUCUUGUUGUAUUGAAAUUGAUUAAUUCUAUUAUUUUCAUUCUUUUUGCAUAUGAAUGAUUGGUUUUAGUGUUUAAAAGUUGUUUGGUUAAAUUCAAACUCCCGUGUUUUAUGUUUGGGUCAAGAUUUAUUCCUCAAUAAAAGAGUAUGAACUGAAUGAAAAUAAUUUAAGCAAGGAUAAACUUAUUUUAUUACUAUUAUAAUAGGAUAAUUUACUAUACUGAAAUUCUCGAAUUUUAUUUUUAACAAACAGUCUUAGAUGAAUUCAAUAUUUUACUUAAUCAAUAUGUUUUAUUUCCUCCGGCUAUUAUAUAUAUUUAAGUGGAAGUUUGUCUUGUAUUUAUUUCGUACGAGUUCGCCAAUAAAUUUAGUCCAAAAUAAUGCAAAAAGGUUAGUACAUAUUUUCCUUCUAAUAAUGUUUUGUUAGUAAGUUAAAAUCAUAUAAUAAGGUGUAGUUGAACUUUCUUUCACAAGACAAUGAGAUAAAACCCAAAAUAUCUAAGUACGAACAGGGUACAACUUACUAAAAACAAUGUUUUGUUUUAAUAGAGCAAAUAUCUCAAUAAAUCGAAAUAAUGUAGAUAAUUGGUCAAUUAACCGCUUAAACUUAAAACGGUAUGUAUAUGUACAAUAUGUAUAUAAUUGUGUAUGCUUUAUAUAUAUAAUUAGAAAAAAUAAAUAAUAAAUUUGAUUGAUUAUUUGUGAAACAUCCCGAUGAAAUUAGAGGUAUUAUAUUUAAAAUUUUAAUUUUUACUUUAUUUUCAAAUAGUUAAAAAUAAAAAAUUACCUUAUAUGUGCUAAUAAGACAAACUUAACACUCUUAUAUUGAUUUAUUAUCUCUACAUGAUGGACAAGGCUCAUGGAUUAAGAAUGGAGACGGUGUUAUGGCCUCCAAGCUCGAUAGGUCAUUAGUAUUUGUAGAUCUUUAAUUUUUGAUGAUAAAUAUAGUGUACAUCAUAAAUAAAUAUAUUUGAUAAUCGCGCGUAGCUCGGCUGAGUUACCUAAUUAGAUAUUAAUCAUUAUAUUUUUGAAAUUCACCAUUUUCCUUUAAAGGAGGAAAUAAAUUAAUAACUUUAUGUACUUUUACCGUAAAAAGUUUGAAAUAUCAAUAUCUAAAUUUACUCUGAAGUUUAAAUUUAUUUACCCUUAAAAAGUAUAGUUGAAUUUGUUAGUGUGAUCUAAACUCAAGUAAAUUAAACCUAACAAUCUAUAUAUACUAAAAAAUAAAAAUAAAAUUGCAAUAACUGAUGACAAACAAUUAUUAGAUCAAUAAUAAAUAUAACAAGGUAAUUUUGAGUAUGAAUUUUGUGUCGUCUUAAAAGAGAACUCAGAACCCUAGAGCAAUAUAAAUCAAAAGUUUUGAAUACAAAGAAUUUUUGUUAUUGUAAUGGUACAAUAGUGAGUAUUACGAUGAAUCCAAAGAAUAAUAAUAAGAUUAUUUAUAUCUAAACCCUUAGAGUUCUAUUUUCAUAAAUCUCACCCCAUAUGAUCUCUCGAUGGUGCAUUUAUCUUCAUCUUAUAAUGUCGAUGAAAAUCUCACAUGACGACGAGCUUGUUUAAGGAUUCAUGUGAUGCGACAACUUCUUCGUACUUGGAAUCGGGUCUCCAGAAUUAGACGAGCUUAACACUCUAAUAUCGAUCUCAGAUAUUUUCGUACCGAUAUCAGACUUGACGAAAGAACCAUAAAACAAUAUAAAACAAAAGCCUUUUGUUGUUAUAAAUUAUAAAACAGUGACUAUGCAAUGAGUUCAGAAAAUAAUAAUAGGAUUUUUUAAUAUCUAAACCCUAGAAUUUUAUUUCCGUAAAUCUCACCAGUAUGAUCCCUCGAUCGUGCAUUUGUCUCCAUCUUAUAAUGGUCAGUGAAAAUUUUGAGAUCUCACAUAAGACAGACUUGUUUAAAACAAUUUCUUAUACUCGAUUGAGCUAGAUAGACUCCACACCCUAAUAUCGGUCUCAGAUAUUUUCGUACCAAUACCGAACCCUUAUGCUUGCUCAAGUCCGACCUAUUUUAUUCCAUUAAACAAAACUAUUUGUAAAUUUUUUGACGGAAAAAACGUGAAACUGUCAAGCAGAUUUUCAUAUGACACGUGGCCGAAUCAUAUGUCAUCACACAGACAUCAAAACGGCCAAGAUGAAAACACGUGGAUUUAUUUCAGAGGUUUAGAUGAAAAUUAGAAACAAAAAUCAGGAAAUAGAAUUUGAAAUUUCUUAAGAGGGUCGGAGAAGUAUCUGGAUUGGUUUUACUCUUCUCUUCAAUUCCUUCAAACCCUAUAUAUUAAGAAAUCUAUACGCCGCCUCAUCUAUUCACCUUUAUAUAUUUUAUAUAUUAACCCUAAAUCUUCCUUUACCAGUUCCUCCAUUUUCUUCAAUCAAUCGGUAAGAUUUCUAUUUACUACUAUUUGUUCUCUACUUUUGAUCAUUCUCAACUGUUGAUUCAAUGCCGCUUUCGUGUUUUUAAUUUAUGAUUUAUCAAUGUGUUUAUACUUGUCUUGUUUUCUUUUCUCCGUGUAUAAUGUCAAUGGCUGACUAAUUAGAACCAAAUUUAUAUGUAUAACCAUAAUCGAUGGUUCUGUUCUGUGUUUCUCUGAUUUAUAUGAGCUGGUUAUGAGUAUCUAGAAAUAGAAAUUGGUAGGUGUUUUAAUAUUAAUUUGUGAAAUUUUAGAUGGUUGAAUGAUGUUUACCCUAAUUUACUAAGCUAAGCUAAUGCGAUUAGUAGGUUAUAUUAACAAUGGCUGUUUCGUUUAAGAGUAGGCCAUUAGUGAGUAGGAUAUCUCUAAUGGUUUUUUUUUUUGCUAGCAAGUGUUACUUUACCUUGCAAUUCAGAAAUACAGAUAUGCGAUUUAUGAGGGGUCUGUUGCUUGAGUUCUAUAAUUUUACAACUAUAUGUCUUUUAAAACGAGUGUUCCUGUAGUUUACAAUUCAGAAACUCAUUGCCGAAGUAAUGUUAUGCUUUAGCGCAUAAAUAUGCCCAAGUAAUGACAACAGUACCUAUAGCAUUCUAUUUAUUUAUAUACAUAAUUUUUCCAGGAGACAUAUCUUUUUGAUUAAAUUUACAACUACUUGCUUCAGCUAUACAACUGAAACAAUUUUCCCUUUUUUCUAUUUUUACAUUGCUUAUAUUUGGUAACAUGUUUAAAAAAGAAAUUCAUUUACAACUUACUCAUUUUUUAUUGAGAAGGUAACAUGAGCUUACUUUGUAUCUUUUGAUGUGGUUUUUCUUUCUGAAGGUUGUGGGCAUUUUAUCUACGUGGGUUUCAAGUUGUAGUUUCUCAAGUUGAAACUUCUUUUAUGUCCAAACAAGCCACACUCUAUUUGGGAUCCGUUGGAUUGCUUGGAGAAUAUUGUCCAACGUCAAGAAAAAGGUGUCAUCAUAUUUCUGAUAGGGUUGACUGUAUGCAUCUUGACUUAUUUCAGGAAGGACACUUAGAGCUUAGUGGUUGCACCCAGACACAACUUUCUCUCAACAAAUUUUGGGCCAAAGGAUCACCUGGAAACCCCUAACACUUUAUUUAGGAAUUUUCACUGAAUCAAAAAUGGCUUUGCAGAAUAUUGGAGCCGGCAACAGUGAUGAUGCCUUCUACAGGUAUAAGAUGCCCAGGAUGAUUACCAAGAUAGAGGGGCGUGGGAAUGGCAUCAAGACAAACGUGGUCAACAUGGUUGACAUUGCCAAAGCUCUAGCAAGGCCAGCAUCUUAUACCACAAAACAUUUUGGGUGUGAGCUUGGAGCUCAGUCGAAGUUUGAUGAAAAAACUGGGACUUCCCUUGUCAAUGGUUCUCAUGAUACUGCCAAGCUUGCUGGUCUUCUUGAGAUUUUCAUCAAGAAAUAUGUUCAGUGCUAUGGGUGUGGAAACCCUGAAACUGAAAUCCUUAUCACUAAAACUCAGAUGAUCCAACUGAAGUGUGCUGCAUGUGGUUUUAUUUCUGAUGUAGACAUGAGAGACAAAUUGACAACCUUUAUUCUUAAAAACCCACCUGAGUCUAAGAAGGGAGCCAAAGACAAGAAAGCAAUGAGAAGAGCUGAAAAGGAGCGUCUAAAGGAAGGUGAAGCUGCUGAUGAAGAGCUGAAGAAGCUGAAGACAAAGAAAAAGGUUUCUUCCAAGGAGGCCAGUGCAAAACCUACCUUGAAAAAGAAAGCCAGUGGCUCUGACGAGGAUCAUGCAUCCCCACCCAAAAGGCAUGUGAAUGUCAGGGAAGAGGAGGAAGAAGAAGAUGAUGAUGUUCAAUGGCAAACUGAUACAUCAAUGGAAGCUGCUCAACAGCGCAUACAGGAA
This 8058-nucleotide long non-coding RNA is filed under the name Solanum tuberosum (potato). Its description in RNAcentral is "long non-coding RNA (STUB_LNC003178)". The record is from RNAcentral. Lineage: Eukaryota; Viridiplantae; Streptophyta; Magnoliopsida; Solanales; Solanaceae.